This is a long non-coding RNA of Mastomys coucha (southern multimammate mouse), 1094 nucleotides long. RefSeq lists it as uncharacterized. NCBI's taxonomy places the organism in Eukaryota, Metazoa, Chordata, Mammalia, Rodentia, Muridae. The transcript is spliced from 2 exons. The record is from RefSeq and is a predicted model, not a curated record.
AGGGGAGGAGGAAGUAGAAUACAAGCGAGGUCACAAAGCCCACGGACCCUGAGCUGGAGCCUCAAGCUAAGCACACGCCAGCCCUCACAGCUACCCUAAGGGAGUCUGUGCACUGGCUUCAGAGGCCGAGGGAAAUCCAAGGCUCCUGGGUUGGCUCAGCCAGCCUGCCCUCCCAGCUGCCUAGCCCAGGAGAUCAACAAGGGUAGAGCAGGGUGGGAACCACCACAUCCCCAAUUUGGAUUUAACUGUAGGAGACAGUCUGGGGCUCAGGGAACCCAACCCAGCAGAAUGAAGACAGAUGGUAAUAGCAGCGCCUGUCCGAAAUGCCCAGAAAUAUCACACAGGAAGUCCCCAAUGUACACACAAGGAGCAUUCCAAAAGCUUGUUUGUGUGUUGGAUGUUGAACCAUAGACACAGUCUUCUAAAAGAAGCUGUCUUCUGAAAGAAGCCACAUUCUGAAGGGAAGCUGGGCGACCGACCGUCCAGGCAGGCUGUCACCUGACCCACAGGUGUGUCCGACAGCACGCUCUCCAGGAUAAAGUGUGGACAAGACAGCUCACCAGGGGUUGGGCCAGGCCGGAAUAUAUCAGAGCACCUGAACUUACUUCCUGCUUGGCCAUGUACGGAGCCCAGCUGUCUAGGACACUCCUGGUAAACUUCCCUAGGACAAAUGGGACAACUGUGAAUCCCACAACUCCCUCGAAACUCUGUGUGUGAGGGGUCCAGCAGUUAAGCAGGUGACUUCUGUUAGAACAAAGCUGUCAGCCAGGGCAACCAUUUCUCGCGCUAGUCUUGGUGCCCAGACAGGAAACGGUUACCGCACAAGUCAGUGAGCUGACCAAUCACCUGCUCCACUACUGACCUGGCUGAGGAAUUACACAUGGCUGCUGGUCAUCCAAACAGACUUCCAAGAUCACUCUCAGCAAGGACCUCUGAUUCUCUUCCUUCUACAGGGGGUUCUAGAGGUAUCACAGGCAGGUUCAGCAGCAGGGUAAGGAGAAGCAGAGAUCCCCAGUGGAAAGCCUAAAAGUGAAUCACUUAAUAGUUGUUUGUGCUUGUGCUUAAGAAAUCCAAAUUAAAAAUUCUGUAAUAAA